CCUACGGGAGGCUGCAGUGGGGAAUAUUGCACAAUGGGGGGAACCCUGAUGCAGCAACGCCGCGUGGGUGAAGAAGUAUUUCGGUAUGUAAAGCCCUGUCAGCAGGGAAGAAGAUGACGGUACCUGACUAAGAAGCCCCGGCUAACUACGUGCCAGCAGCCGCGGUAAUACGUAGGGGGCAAGCGUUAUCCGGAUUUACUGGGUGUAAAGGGAGCGUAGACGGCAGUGCAAGUCUGGAGUGAAAGGCGGAGGCCCAACCCCGGGACUGCUCUGGAAACUGGAGGGCUGGAGUGCAGGAGAGGUAAGGGGAAUUCCUAGUGUAGCGGUGAAAUGCGUAGAUAUUAGGAGGAACACCAGUGGCGAAGGCGGCUUACUGGACUGUAACUGACGUUGAGGCUCGAAAGCGUGGGGAGCAAACAGGAUUAGAUACCCCAGUAGUC
Molecule: ribosomal RNA, 440 nt
Filed under: uncultured bacterium
Lineage: Bacteria
Description: partial 16S ribosomal RNA
Rfam family: Bacterial small subunit ribosomal RNA
Source: RNAcentral